RNAcentral lists this transfer RNA (70 nucleotides) under Leptoxis ampla. Its description in RNAcentral is "tRNA-Asp". The record is from RNAcentral. Lineage: Eukaryota; Metazoa; Mollusca; Gastropoda; Pleuroceridae.
AGAAAAUUAGUUAAAAAAUAAUAUAAGAUUGUCAGUCUUAAAUUGCUAAUUUAAAAUUUAGUAUUUUCUG